This 439-nucleotide ribosomal RNA is filed under the name uncultured bacterium. Its description in RNAcentral is "partial 16S ribosomal RNA". It matches the Rfam family "Bacterial small subunit ribosomal RNA", at positions 339 to 795 of the family's 1533-position model. The record is from RNAcentral.
CUACGGGGCGCUGCAGUGAGGAAUAUUGCACAAUGGGGGGAACCCUGAUGCAGCAACGCCGCGUGGAGGAUGACGCAUUUCGGUGUGUAAACUCCUUUUAUAUGUCAAGAAAAUGACGGUAGCAUAUGAAUAAGCACCGGCUAACUCCGUGCCAGCAGCCGCGGUAAUACGGAGGGUGCAAGCGUUACUCGGAAUCACUGGGCGUAAAGGACGCGUAGGCGGGUUGGAAAGUCAGGUGUGAAAUCCUACAGCUUAACUGUAGAACUGCACUUGAAACUUCUAAUCUAGAGGAUGGGAGGGGGGGAUGGAAUUAGUGGUGUAGGGGUAAAAUCCGUAGAUAUCACUAGGAAUACCUAAAGCGAAGGCGAUCUCCUGGAACAUUACUGACGCUAAGGCGUGAAAGCGUGGGGAGCAAACAGGAUUAGAUACCCGAGUAGUC